UGGAGGGUCGGGGUAAAAUAGGUGGUUCGUAGGCAAGGGUCAGCUGUCUCUCCUUUUUAUAUUACACUUUUAGAUUAUGAACCAUGGGCACAUAAUAUUGAAUAGCAAACUAAUUCGAAAAAGUCUUUCAAGUUGUGUAGUAAAUGUUAGGAAAGAAAUAGGGCAAUAACAGAAAGGAGUGGCAAGUUCUCCUUAAAGCACCUUCAGAAGAUGAAACUGAAAAUGUGAGGGGGAGGGGUUAGGUGGAACAAGGCCCGGAGUGGGAGGAGAGAGGCUCAGGGCCCAGAGGAAGCUCUUGCAACAACGGAGGAGAAAGGGCCUUCUGUGGUGGCGGGUGGAAAAUGGUGAGGAGGCGGCGAGGAAAAUGGAGAGGGCGCUGCCAGGAUUCCAUCUCGGCCGAAAGCAGGCGUUGAUGUAGUGAUAUUUACACUCGUCGGACCUGCAAAAUGCUCUGCAGAAUGCUCGUGGGCCUGAAAAGAACGAGUUCUCAGACCUUACUGGUGUAAAUGGGAAUUGUCCCGGCGUCGGGGGCUGAAUAUUCCAGGCAGCCACGUUUAUGGUGGUAAACACAGUAAACAAAGAAAAGGACAUGAACAACAUAAUUAUUAGAUGAGCUGAGGCGCCUUCACGCCGUGCAUCAAUAUUCAGCCAUUCGUAGAGUAAAGCCGGACAGGACUUCGGGUUUCCAAGGUGUGCUAGAAAAGCAAGAUGCCAGUGUAGUAUGCUAUGCGAUGCCAUCUUAGAAAACAAAAGGAAUCACUGUGAGUGUGUGUGUGUGUGUGUGUGUAUGUGUGUGUGCGCGCGCGCGCGCGCACGCGCUCGCGCGCCCCCGUAGUUUUACGUGAGCAUGGGGGUAAAUACGCUGGCCAAAAUUGGGAUGGCGGAAGCAGAAGGAGAGAGGGGGAAAAUCCUCAACACUUGCAGAGUAAAACGAGCAAGUGCAAAAUAAAAAACAAAAAAGCUACGUAGGGCGCCAGGGUCGCAGGUAAAGACCGUGAGGCAGGGCUGAUCCGGGCGCAGGCCAAGCGGCACCGGACCAGGGGCACCUCCGGCUUCGCCGCCGGUGGCUAUACUUCCAGUCCGAGGAUGUCCGCUCGGCUCGCGUACCUCGGUGCGAGCUUCCCCCGAGCUCUUUGUUAAUGGAGGGUGGGGAGAAAGCGGGGCAGGCGCCUAGCGCACCGGGCAGCGGCGGCUUGGGGGGUGGGGCGGGGACGGCCCAACGAGUUGCUCGCCUCGCUGCCCUUCCCCCACCGCCCGGCCGCAGCCCCUGCCGGCCGCCCGGGUCUCGUCCCGCCUCACGGCCGGCGCUCCCCGGCCCGGGCCGCUCCGCACGCCUCGCCGCCUGCUGGGCUACUGAUGCCCUCCAUCCACACAAAGACGCGUGCGCCCGGGCGGGGAGCGCAGGGGCUGGCACGCACCACCGGCGGGCCUUCUGUCUGCACCCCCUCUCCCGGCCGCCGCCGGCGCACUCCCACGGCCCCCACUCCCUCGUCUCUCGUCUGAGCCGCCAUUUGCUCCUCGCCUCCCCGACUCAGCUACCGGUAAUCUCAGAUCUACUUUCCAUCUCUUCGCAAGAGGAGCAUGGGAAUAUGGAGACAUGAACUGAUUCAAGGAAUCUGGCCUGGGGAAGGCCUCAUGCACAGAUUCUGAGCAGACAGGGUCUUGUCUUAAAGAGCCUUGAACCAAAUUUACUACCAGCCUUAUCCCAACUCCCAUUCCCCCAGCUUCAAAGAGAAUACAGGUGACCACAGACUCCGAAGUCUUGCAGGUUGGUGCAGACUUUUGAGAACCUGUUGUACAUCUCUCACCCUUGUUCCAAUGGGUACUAUUUGUUAACACUAGAAUUCAUACUGUCCCACAUUUGAUCUUUCCCUCCUCAACCACAAACUUCUACUUCCUUCUACUAUUGUCUUCAGAAUGCCAAUAUUCUGUGUCCCAGUUUCAUCUUGGGCACCAAGGAGUAGGAUGAACUUUAUAGUUCUGAAAUUCUAGGUUCAGAAAAUAGUGCUGUGGAGCACAAGGUGGGUGGGUUUCACUGUCACUCAUGCCUGCACCUGUGAACAGGGAACCUCCUGAGGAAACACAUAUGGUCUCAUCAUAUUCCACAGCCACCCAGCCACAUCUCUCAAGGCCUGACUUCCUUUCCUCCCCACGCCCCACCCUCUGGGCAGAAGUAGCUGAGAAGGUGCUUCUCCAGCUCUUUCCUCUUCCCUGCUUAGCUCUAUUAUAGUUCACUAGGCCAACACUUCUCUUAGAACCAAAGUGUUUCUAUUUAGGGGUCUGGGGAGCAAUUCCAUUUCCCUCUAUCUCACCUGGAUUUUCUGGCUUUCAGAAGAAAAUGAUCCACUCAGAGAUCAUGACUUAUUUCUUCCCAAGCAGUGAGUCAUAUUCACAGACAAACCUUAUCUCCUGGGCCACAACCUGGUUGGCUCCCAACUCACAGAACAUGAUCAAAGACUGUGUAUCUUUGUAUCUUUAUAUUAACUUGCACAUAAUUCAUUUAAACUUUGGAGAAAAACGCCUCAUCAUAUCCUCCUACCUCCCCACCACUUGUUUUAAUUUUCUCCACAGCUCAUCCGACAUACUAUACCAUCCUUCCUUCCUCCCUCCCUCCUUCCCUUUCUUCUUUCCUUCCUUCCUUUCAUACUGUUUUUCUCUCUCUCCUCAUUGGCCUAUAAACUUUUUGAAGAUAGGGCUUUUGUUUGUUUUGUUCAUUUCUGUAUCCAUAGGACCCAGCUCAAUGCCUGGCACAGGGUACUCAAUAAAUGUUGAAUAAACAAACUGUUGAAUGAAUAGUUGCUUAUCCUUACUUUUCUCUGGGUCCUACCACUCCCUCUCCUGCCACACGUUUUUACCUUGGCUUAACAGCUAAGGGAUCAUAUGACUAUAUAUGUUACAUCAGCUCUGGAGGGGAGUGUACUUCUCCACCUCUGACAUCUCCAUCUGCUGAAACCACAUGCACCUGGCAAGUCCUACCAACCUUCUCGUGGCACCAUCCUUUAACCUCCCACAAUAAUCUUACCAUGGUGAUCUAGAGCACUCCAAGCCUGCACCGCUCAACUACAGUUUAACAUUUUCUGCCUUGUGCUGAGAAUAUAAUUUUCCUGGAUGCAAUUUUCCUGAUGCAACAGGGAAGUCAACAAUAAGACAAGGGUAGUCUUUCCUUGGCGAAGCUAGCUUCCCACCCCUGCUCUCUCGUCUCCUACCCCUUUUCCACAGGUCCCCCUAGGCAGUACUUAAUUGCUGAAUUAAAAGAAGAACCCAGAUCUGGGCCUUACACUUUCAGGCUGGCCAACUGCAAGGGGACCCAUCUCUCAAACACUUUUAACUAAGUUCACACAGAGGCCAAGGGACAUAUAAACCAAAUGCCAAUCAAUGUAUGGAUUCAAAUGAAGAAUAACAGACAUUCUGAGGCUCUGGAAUGGUUGAAUUGACUUGACUGGCUGAUCUUUUCCUCAUGGUCUGAAGACUGCUUGGUAAAUAUGGAACUUAGAAUAAAAGUAACUGGGGCUCAGUCGGUUGAGCGUCCAACUCCUGGUUUUGACUCAGGUUAUCAUCUCACAGUUUGUGAGUUCAAGCCCCACAUUGGGCUCUGUGCUGACGGUGCAAAUACUGCUGGGGAUCCUCUCUCUCUCUCCCUCUCUCUCUCUGCCCCUCCCCUGCUUCUGCUCUCUCUCAAAAAUAAAUGGGGGAAAAAAUUAACUUAAAAAAAAAAAAAGUAACCUGAAGUCACAUCUCUCCUUUAGGGCAGGGCCCUUCUUCCCUGCUGUAAGAGCAGUCUGACCAAGGAAAUCAUGGAGCUCAAGUCCCCUUAGUCAAGACCUACCCUUCUUUAGGCAGUGCUGGUGCUUCCAAGGAUGGCCAAAUCCCUCGUGUUCAGGUCCCCAAAACACUUUAUAACACAAUUGAUCAGACUUAACCAAAAUUAUGACCAUUUUCCAGCCCUUCCUUCCUGAGAUUGCUCUCAGUCAUCUGAUCAAUGUUCUGGGUGUCCUCAAACUUUCAGGCAAUACACUUGAAAUUUCAUGGUUUACUUUCCUGGAUAGUUAAUCACCCAUCACAUGUAAUUUUACUGGCCUGAAGGGAAACUCAUUUCCUGUCACUUAGGUGUGCAGGCUGUAUUAGACAAAACAAAAGACAUUUCUCCAAUUAGACUAUAAGCACCUAAGGGUCCAUACCUUGUAGGUUUUAAUAAAUAUGCCAUGAGUCAGGACAGCAAGGACUGCUUUGCCAGCAAAGAGAAAGAAAAAAAUGAAAACAAAAACAAAUGCCUAUUCAAAGUGACCCUGAAUCAAGUAGGCUCAUCUGUUCUCUUGAUUGGAAACUACCUGCCUUGCUCAAAACCAUGGAGUAUUUACUUACAAAGUUCUGGGUUUUAAGGAAUUACUCCAAGAUACCUGAGUCCUUAUUAGCUUGCCUCAUCUUGGGAAUUUUUUUAACUAUUGUGCUAGCCAAGUUCAAGAAUUAAAAGAAUGAAAAUGGAGAGGGGACUUCUGCCUUUGUUGCCUUUCUCUUGUCUCUUGCAGUUCCACGUACAACUCAGCAGUGAGUAUGAGCCGCCACUCUCACAACAUAAUACAGAGAACACAGCCGUCCCCGAGGUACAUUGGAUCCAACUUACUCAGACACCACAUUUCUGCCUUUUGCCUUGCUGACUGGCAAAUGAGCAAUGGUUUGUAGAAGCAGCAGGUGCAAGGAGAGGUGGCUCCUGCCAGGUGCUAAAAAAAGGCUCAACUCUGAUACACAGGAGUCCUUCCAUUAACACAUCCAUGACUGAGGCAAAGUGGGGGGAAGUCACCUCUUCUCUGUCUUUUGGAGUCACAAAUGCUGCCCUUUGUCAUUUAACCUGGUUUUGCUUUGAUACAAAUGGCAGGAGUGGCCAAGAGAGUGGGGGUAUGGAGGUGAAGCCCACACUGUAACAUGCCUUCACUCAUACCCUCUGGGAUGGUCCUGGGCAUCACACAUCCUAGAGAAAGGCUGCCCAGGUACUGUUUCUUGCCACUGCCACAGAACCAAACUUUAGUAUGGACUCCCAAACACAUGACUCUACCAUAUCCUUGUGUGAGUUAUGUCAUUUAAGCUGGUGAACCACAGUUUCCUCUUCUAUGUAAAGGGAUGAUAAUUCCACUUAGCUCAUAGGACUGGUUGUGGAAAUCAAAUGAGAUGGUAACUUGUGUGAAAAACCUAAUACAUGGGAAUGCAAUCGGGUGCAGCCAUUCUGGAAAACAGUAUGGAGGUUCCUCAAAAAACUAAAACUAGAACUACCCUACGACCCAGCAAUUGCACUACUAGGUAUUUAUCCACGGGAUACAGGUGUGCUGUUUCGAAGAGACAGAUGCACCCCCAUGUUUAUAGCAGCACUAUCAACAAUAGCCAAAGUAUGGAAAGAGCCCAAAUGUCCAUCGAUGGAUGAAUGGAUAAAGAAGAUGUGGUAUAUAUAUACAAUGGAGUAUUACUCGGCAAUCAAAAAGAAGGAAAUCUUGCCAUUUGCAGCCAUGUGGAUGGAACUGGAGGGUAUUAUGCUAAGUGAAAUUAGAGAAAGACAAAAAUCAUAUGACUUCACUCAUAUGAGGACUUUGAGAGAAAACAGAGGAACAUAAGGGAAGGGAAACAAAAAUAGAAAAACAGGGAGGGGGGCAAAACAGAAGAGACUCAUAAAUAUGGAGAACAAACUGAGGGUUACUGGAUGGGUUGUGGGAGGAGGGGUGGGCUAAAUGGAUAAGGGCCACUAAGUAAUCUACUCCUGAAAUCAUUGUUGCACUAUAUGCUAACUAAUUUGGAUGUAAAUUUUAAAAAAGAAAAAGAAAAACCUAAUACAGUUUGUGACACAUGCUAAAUAGCACUUCAGGAUACAUUAGUUUUCCUCCUUCAAGAAGAUAGUCUUGCACUGUUUACUCAGACCAGCCUCCUACAUAAGCUACUGGAAGCUAGCUUGUCCCCAGGGAUCAGGCCAUCCCAGGAAAAAUGACUUGGCCACAGCAACGUAAUACGAGACGAAAGAUUCUGACAAGGCACAGCAACAGGAGAGAGACAACUGAAGGGUACCUGGCAGUGUGUGCCCUAGACAGGGUUCCCAGCAGGAAAUCCUGUGGUGCCUCAGUUAAGUAGUUUCACAAGGGCUGGGGCCCAGACAAAAACUCCAGUAACCACCCGUCCCUAAACUUUCAUUAGGCCCCAUGUUCAACUCAUCAGGUCGUGGAUGAGCCCCUUGCCCCCUUUUCUUUCAAAGCCACUGGGCAGGCUAUGGAGUUCACAUUAAGAAAAGGGAAGCGCUUCUCUUAAAAACCAGUACACGGAACUACACGAAGCCUUCUAAGGGCUACCGAGGGAUUAAUGGCCCUGCAAACUGGUUCUAAGGACCCAAUGGCAAAAGGUGGAUUUUAAGUUUCAUAUUUUGACUGACCACCUAUCCUGUGUUAGGGACAGACUAAUACAUCUCUUAAGUGGAUGGUACAAUCCGUAUUUUACAAAGGAAGAAACCGACACUCCGAAUACUGAAUGACUCGCCCAAGGCCAAGACUAAGCGGCGGGUCGGGAUUCAAAGCCCAGUCUCCUUCCAGAGCCCACAUUCCUCCUCUCUCCCGGCGCAGGCAGGAACGGCAAGAGUGGGGGCGGGCCAAUACUGGGAGGCCGGGGAGGAAGAAAGCCUGAGACACGGCGGGGAGGGGCCUGGGCGCGGCGACUCCUUCCCCGAAGAGCCGCGCGGUCUGCAGCUAGUGUGCGGCCCGGGCCCACGUGCCCCGAGUCCACUCCGCUGCCCUGAGGGCGCGCCGGCCGCUGCGCGGGCUUGGACCCGCCCCCAGGAGGGUGCCAGGAAGUCGGUGCUCGGCUUAAAGUUGGACCCAGAGGCGCCCGGGGCACGUCUGAGGGCGACCUAGGCGAAAUAACGACCUCGAAAGGGCCUCGCGCAGGGACGAGUGCCCCUCCCCAUCCAACCCGCCUCGUCAGCACCUUUCCAGCAGUUCGGCCACACAGUGGGUCACGAGGUGGGCGUGGCCCAGUCAGCCUGCGCGCGGCGCCACCCGCCCUCCCCUCUCCUGGCGCGCCACGUCCCCGGCCCCGCCCCCGCGAGCCACGCGGGGAACCCCAAUGUCGUCACCACCCUCCUGCACUCGCCUUCCCGCGCUCUCCAGAAAAGACGCGAAAGUGGUGACGUGUCCCGGGCUCCAGUGAGGCUGCGCAGAAGGCGUCGGCAACAGAACGUCCUGCGGCGCCGCCUGGUGGAAGAAAGAGCUGCCCAACCGGCCGGAAGGAGCGGCGCGGGCGGGAGGGGUACGUGACUUACGUCACCUCGCUGAGGAGGGGGGAAAGGGGGCGGCCGCCACGUGACCGGCCCCCGCCCGCGGCGUCAAGGCGUCUUUCUUUUUCUUUUCCACCUUUCUGUGGAGUAACCUUUAUGUCCUUUGUUUUAAGGGUAGGGCUUUUCCUUUUUGGAACUUACCGAAGUAAUACUGUUCAUCGGAGAAAUUUUGAAAAAAAAAAGGGAAAAAGAUAACGAAGAAAAUGAAUGCCAGCACUACACACACCCUUUCAUAUUGAUUUGUAGCUUUUCUGUUAACAUUAAACAAAACAUUCCAGUCUCAAGGCCAAGUUAGAAAAACACGACGGAAAAGGAAGGGAGAGCAAACAAUAGGCAAAAGGGUAAUAGAUGGUAUUUAAUGAGGAUUUCACACACAGUACCUAAUUUAGUACACACAUCAUCCAGGUGAGGUCACCGGACCAUAGGGUUGAAUAACUUGCCCAAGGUUGCAUAGUUAAUAAGCUGGUGGCAGAGUCAGGGUUUGAACCCAGGGUUUAAAAUCUGAACCUUAAGGUGGUGUGAAGAGGACAGUUGAAAAAGUGCUGGAGAGAAGGGAGGAAAACCGCAGGGAAUGUCGUGGUGGUUACAGAUAACACUUUUUACUUCUGAAAUUGUGGAGUUGGAACCAGUUGGUAGGAAGAAGGCCAGUGCCUCCAAGGGUUGGAGCAACUUCGUGGGAGCAUACCGUAAAGCACCUCAACCUAACACACUGCCUUGAAACGCUUAGGUGCAUGCUAGCUAUUGCUCUAGCAGCUGCUGCUGAUUGCUUUGUGUCACCGACCUCCAGCCCUGCCCUCCCAUUAGUGGCAGUGAGAGGUGGGAGUCACAGUACCAAGUCAGGCAUUAGGUCUUGCUAUGGAGAGUGCAGUCUGGAGUCCAGCUGCAUUUGUGCAGUCCAGUACAUGCUGCAUCAGUUUGAGGACAUAAAUGCAGAAUCUUGGACCCUACCCUAGAACCUCUGAAUCAGAAUAUGCUAGAUUGUAACUAGAUCCCUGGGUGAUGCCUAUGCAUAGAGCACUAUGGUAAAACACGGUAUCCUAGUCCCUUGGCGAGGCAGAUGUGAUGGUACAAAGAUGUGAAGGGAGCUUGCAGAGCUGGAUGGUGGGAAGGCAUGCAGACAAGGAGCAAGGUCUGUAAGGCAGUUUUUAAAAAAGCAUCCAGGGGUGCCUGGCUUGCUUAGUCAGUGGAACAGAUGACUCUUGAUCUCAGGGUUGUAAGUUCGAACACCAAGUUGGGUAUAGAGAUUACUUUAAAAAAAAAAAAAAAAACUUAAAAAAAAGCAUUCAAUAAGGAGUAUCAGAAAAUAUCACAAAAUAGGAAGAAAACUAGGAAGCCAGAAUCUGGGAGACAAAAGAGAAAUAAGCCAAGAAAUAAGCCAAGUGAGAAGGUUCAUCUUGGGAAAAUUCACCAAAAAAAAAAAAAAAAAAAAGACCCAGGAAUUUUUCUCUGUGGCUAACUUUUCUGUGUUGUAUGUGAUGAGUACUUGAGAGGGUUCAGGUCAUUCAAAGGGCUGGAGGAGGGCAGCCCCUGCCCAUUCUCUCACCUUUAGCAGAUACAGUGCGAUUUCCCUUGGUUAUUCUAAUAGAGAGCAGGUUUUGGGCUCUGACCUGGGAGAACCAGAUACUGACAGAAUAGUGCCUCUUAGAUGAUGUACACAGGCUGCAUUCUGUAGGUGGCCAGAGCUAGAUGAGUAGGAGGCCAGAGUGUUAUGGUGUGUGUGCAUAUAUAUGCAUGUACACGUGGGUUGGAAGGAAGGGUGGGUUACUGGCAGAAAGGACAUAAUAGGAAUCAGUGAAAGGGUGAACUUAUGUGACUGGGACCGAUGACAUCUGGUACCAUGAAAGAACUAGGUGGCAGGCCUACAGACCCUCACUUAUGUGGGUGGUUCUUAGAGUCAGAUUUUCAGGAGGUCUCUGAGUGACUUAUCGUUCUUCUAAGCCAGCGAGCUGUUGAGAUGACAGUAGUUCUGGUAGAAGCAGGGACAUGAUAGGUUAGAACCAAAGUGAUCUGGGUGGAGUGGCAGCAAGUUGUUCUCAUUAUGCCCACAUUAGGGGCCCAGCCAUUUUGUCUGGAGGAGUUAAGGUGGCAUCCCUCUCAUACCUAUUAAUAUUGUCUAAGGAUUGUCAGUCCGUGCACUAAACAGGUGACUACGUGGACAUGGAGGUUUUUGAGCUGUUCACUCCGGAAUACAAAUGGUGGCUGCAAUGUUGAAAGGCAUUAGCUUUUCUCCCAGAGAUGGGGGAUUCCUAUGACUAAUGGAGGUAUGCAAUGGAUAGCAGGUGGGAGCAUGGAGAGGUGGGGAGGCAGAUGUGUGCAGAGUUUGAAGAGCCUUUUUCUGCUGGGAGUAUCUGGGAUCAUCCUGGGGUGGUAGUGUGGGCUGAGUCUGAAAUGAGGUCAAUGCUAGUGGUGUCCCAGAGGUCUGGAUGUUGAGAGUGGGUACAGUACUCUUACUGGUACUUGUAGGCCCAUGCUUGACCUGUUAGAGAGAGUGGCAAAUUAGAAUUAUUGGUCAAUGUAACUCUGAACCCCAUUCCAGAUUUUGAUGGACUGUGAAGGUGGGUUGGGGUGGUCCAGGGUAAAGACCUUAACACUUCAGUACUGUUCCUCUUUGGGUGGAUCAUUUGUCCCAGCCAUGUGUUUUAUGGCCUUUGUGGGUAUUCUCAUCCGUGGCUAUAGUCAAGUACUACUAGAUCCAGGCAUUUGCCUGUUACUCACAGGUCUGUCUUGGUCAAAAAGCUGUAACCAAUGUCCUUAAAGUAGUCAGGUUGCAGGAUUUCCUGAAUGGACCAACCACUGUGUUUCCUUGGGUGGUCUUCCUUUUCAGCAGGCUCUGCUUUACCUAAUUUCUCUUCUCCAUAUCUAUACAAACCCUUUCUCCUUUAAAGCCCAGUACAAGUUCUAAGUUCUCUGUGAAACUUUCUGGAGUCUCCCCAAGGAAUUCCCCCACUGUCGAAAGCAUUUGUGAGCUCUCCACACAAGGUAUUCCCUCAAUCACACAGGAUAGACAACACUUAAUUUGCCUACCCUUUCCCCCUUGUAGGGACACAGCUCCCCUUUUACCAAAAAUGCCAAUCAGAGUCUUUCUUGUGGGUCUUUGCCCUUCGGAGGAGAGAGAGAGUAGAGCAGCCAAUCCCGCUCCAGUGUAAAAGUGUAAGUCUUACUUUCAGGUGCCUGAAAAGUCGGAAUUCUGGCUAGAGGGUGCUGCUCUGUGCUAAGAGUGAGUGAAGCCCCAGGAGAGACAGUGAUGGGUCAGAUGGACCUUGGCUCCAGGGUUCCUGAGGCCUAGUUACACCCUAGUGCCACCCAGGAUGGCUGUCCAGCCCUAUGUUAAAGUCCAUGAACCAUUCAUUCCCAUUUUUGCCUGAGCUGGUUAGAGUUGGGUUUUUGUUACCUGCAGUCAAAAGAAAACCAGGAGUCUCCUUUAUGUGGGAUUUUUCUUAUGUUCCCAAGGACAAUGGUUUACAAGGAAUUUAUACCAAAGUAACAUAAUAAAGUAGAAAGAACAUGCCCUUUGCACUAAAAUGAAACAUUUUUAAUGCCGUUUCCAGCAAGAAAAACAGGCUGUCUCUUUAACUUAAAAGAAGAGGUGAUAUCUAAACUCAAACAGUAAGGACUAAAUGAGAAAAAUGGGAAUAUAAAUGAAAGUGUCUGGCACACAGGAGGCAUAUAGGAAAUGGUCACUCCCUUCUUUUCUCCCUGAAGACAGGCUUCCACUUCUGUGUCCUUCAGUAUCACCAUUCUGUGAUCAAUGAGCUCAAAAACAGGAAUUGAACCUACCAGCUCUUAAACUUGUUGUUGAAUAAAGAAGGAAAUAAAUAUCUAGGGAACAAGUAAUUAGAAGCAUUAGUUUGAAAUGUCAAUAAUCCCUUGAUACCUGGACUUCUUUUUCCUAUUUCACUAUUACUUAAAUCUCCCCAAAGGCUUAUAAUUUUAUAAUCAGGCCAACAUGAGAUAUACUUUGGAAAAACUAGUGACAUUGUGCUUUUAUUUGAGAACAAAAUAAAUGGGCAUGACUGGAACUCUGUCAGGAUGGUCCUUAACAUUCUGCCCUAAACAGGGUAUUAUUAACUUUCCAACACUAUUGGUGUAAGAAGUGCUGCGAACAUCUUAGAGAAUUAGAAAAAGUUUGAAACAAACUCUAAAGGUGAGUUCUUUAAGAAGGAAAGAGAGCUGGUUUCCUUUUUGUUCCUUUAAAAAUUCUAGCCAGAAAUAUCACCCAAUUUAUAACAAAGACCAUACACAGCAGCACCAAAAAGGCCAUUUACAAGAAGAGUUUUUCUUCAACAGAAUCCACUUGAAUGCGAUAAGAAAUUGCAUCUUGGCUAAGAGCAGUUCACUAGGCGACAGGGCCAUCUAAGUGCCUAACUAGUAUUUAAAUUGUCAAGGGUUGGGAAUGUGCAAAUUUAGCAGCAAAAGACUCUUGUUUUUUUCCCUUGUCAAGGGAAAGUGAUGGUGGUCAGAGGCGCCAGUUCCAAGGGCUGGUCCAGCGGUGGCCGCUGGUCUUGGUAUUCUGCCACAUGCCCGUUCCGGUGGUGACCGUACUCAAACUUGAUCCGAAGCUCACCAAUCUUGGACUGAGGAAGGAUAUCUGGAAUCCACUCAAUGAUGAACGGUGUUGGCUCCUUUUGAUCUGGGGAAGUGUUGCCUGAAGACCAAAAAAAAAAAAAAAAAAAAAAAAAGAACACUGAUUAGUACCAUUCCAAAAUUUGAGGCUGGACAGAUGUAACUCUGUUCAGUAAUAAAAAAAAAAGAAAAAAAAAUUAAAACAACAACAACAAAAUAGGAGAGAGAAACAGUGGAGAAGAAUCAAGGGAAGGGAAAAGUGAUUACUGAUGUAUCUAUCCAAAUAAAAAUUUCAGGGAACUGUCUGGCACCCUCAAAUGAAAUAAGACCCAGCCUCCAUGGAAAUAGAGCCAAAAGAAUACUAACGAGAGCCCAGAUUAAGGAGAAAAGAUAGCUGGAUGAGAUUAAAAGGGAGACUAGCAAGAAAAGGUUAAGUUUCAAGGAAACCAGAAACAAUUAAAAUUACAUGGUUCUAAAACAUACUACAAACCCAUAAUAACCAAAGGAGUGUGGUACUGGCAUAUGUCUAGACAGAUUAAAUGAACAAAACAGAAAGAUCCAAAGUGGACACAAAUAGAACAGGAAUUUAGCAUAAUAUAAAGGUUGCAUUUUCAAUUAGUAAAAUUAGUGAUUAGUAAUUUCAGUUAGUAAAAUACAAGUGUUUCUUAUAAUAGUGUGCAUCAAUUAGGUAGCUAUCUGGAAGAAAAUAAAAGGUGGCAGAAUCAUACCUCAUACCUUACAUCAAAAUAAAUUCCAGAGGAUCAAAGAUUUAAACAUGAAAAACUCAGGUUACAGAAUGCUUUCAAAAAAAUAUAAAACACUAGCAGAGUCCAACUCUUGAUUUUGGCUCAGGUCAUGAUCUCACGGCUCACGGUUCAUGAGAUCUCUCUCUCUGACCUUUCCCCCACUAGCAUUCAUGCACUCUUUUCUCUCUCAAAAUAAAUAUUUUACUAAAAAAAAAAACUAGCAGAAUUUAAAAGAAUACAAUAUACCUUUCAGAACUAUGGGGCAUCUGGCUAGUUCAGUUGAUAGAGCAUGUGAAUCUUUUUAUUUAUUUAUUUAUUUAUUUAUUUAUUUAUUUUUUAAUGUUUAUUUUUGAAGAGGAGAGAGAGAGACAGAGCGUGAGUGGGGGAGGGACAGAGAGAAAGAGAGACAUGGAGAAUCUGAAGCAGGCUCCACGCUCCAAGCUGUCAGCACAGAGGCCGACAACAGAGCUCAAACCCACAAACGGUGAGAUCAUGACCUGAGCUGAAGUCAGACGCUUAACUGAGCCAUCCAGGAGCCCCAGAGCAUGUGAAUCUUGAUCUUGGGGUCCUGAGAUCCCAUGUUGGGCACACUGCUUACUUAAAAAAAAAAAAAAAAGAAAAAAAAGGGCAAAGAAAUUUUGACACUUGCUACAACAUGGAUGAACCUUGUAGACAUUAUAGUAAGUAAAAUAAGUCAGAGAAAGGAAAAAUACUGUCUGAUUGUACUUACAUAAGCUGCCUAAAGUAGUCAAAUUAAUAGAGACAGAAAAUAGAAUGGUUGUUGCCAGGGACCAGGGGUGAGGUGAGAGUGGGGAGUUACUAAUUAAUGGUACAGUUUCAGUGGAGGGCGACAAAAAAGUUCUGGAGAUGGAUGAUGGUAAUAGUUGCACAACAAUGUAAAUGUGCUUCAUGCCUGAGAACUAUACACUUAAAAAUGGUUAAAAUGGUAAACUAUUUUAUUUAAAAAAAUUUUUUAAGUUUAUUUAUUUAUUUUGAGAGACAGAGAGUGAGCAGGGGAGGGGUAGAGAGAGAGAAGAGAGAGAGGAUCCCAAGCAGACUUGGCACUGUUAAUGCAGAGCCUGAUGUGGGACUCGAACCCAUGAACUAUGAGAUCACGACCUGAGCCGAAGAGUCGGACACUUAGCCAACUGAAUCACCCAGGCACCCCUAAAAUGAUAAUUUUUAUAUUCUGUAUGUUUUAUAAAAUUUUAAAAAGUUAAAAAAAUAUUGUUUAAGAGGCACCUGCGUGGCUCAGUCGGUUAAGCGUCCACCUUUGGCUCAGGUCAUGAUCUCACAGUUCGUGAGUACGAGCCCCACGUUGGGCUCUGUGCUGGACCCUGCUUCAGAUUCUGUGUCUCCCUCUUUCUCUGCCCCUCCCCCACUCAUGCUCUCUCUCUUUCUCUCUCUCUCUCUCUCUCUCUCAAAAAUGAAUAAACUUUAAAAAAAUUUAAAAAAAUAAUGUUUAAGGUAGAUAUGGAAAGCUGUCAUGAUAAUAUUUUUAAGUUAAAAAAGUAUCUGAGGUAUGAGCCCAUGUUUUGCAAACUCUUUUCAUGUGUAGAACAGAGUCUAAAAGGAGAUAUGCCAAAUUCUUUUUUUUUUUAAUGUUUAUUUUUGAGACAUACACACACACACACACACACACACACACACACACACACACAGUGCGAGCAGGGGGAGGGGCAGACAGAGAGGGAGACACAAAAUCUGAAGUAGGCUCCAGGCUCUGAGCUGUCAGCACAGAGCCUGUUGCAGGGCUCAAACUCACAAAUUGCGAGAUCAUGACCUGAGCCGAAGUCAGAAGGUUAACUGACUGAGCCACCAGGCACCCCUAAAAUCUUAAUGGUGAUGUCUUCUAUGGUGCAUGAGCUUAUAGGUGGUUCACUUUUCUCCUUUAUGGUCUAUAAUGAAAUCUAUGAUUUCUCUAUAAUGAAUAUGUAUUACUUCUAUUCUAUUUAUUUUUAGAGAUUUUAUUUUUAAGUAAUCUCUAUACCCAACAUGGAGCUCAAAUUUACAACCCCAAGAUCAAGAGUCAUGUGCUCCACUGACUGAGUCAGCCAGGUGCCCCUUAUAAUUUUAUUUUAAAAGCAUUGUUUCAAAAGAAACAAAACACUUUAUUCCAUGAUGGCCUUUACAAGAUGAAUGCAUGUGUCUUCUUUGUUUAAGGUCAAGAUCCAAUGUCUAGGACAGUUCAAUGCACACAGCUAACCUUCAAAGGAAAAUGCGCUAUUGAAAGCACAAUUUCACUUACCAACUUUGAGAAAAGUUUUUAGUUCCAAAGGUCGCAGCACAGGUUGCUUUUCUAUACGACCAUAGGUUUCUGCUAUGCUCUCUACUUCCACUUUAGGGCAUUUAAACAGCUCGUAAGUCCCAUCCCGGUUCUGGAUAAAACUCCGAGUGAUUUCCAAGGGCAUCUGGACAUGAAGUCAAUACCAAGAAAGGUGAGAAAGGAAAAACUUUCAAAGUAGACAAACAUUUGGAUGACAACAGAUCUUUCACUUAUUCUUUUUUGUUACACUCAAAUUAAUGGAAACCUCCUCUUGUAUUUUCAAGUAAAUGCUAUCAAGAAAUCUGCCUUUUCUCCUUUACAUCAUUCAUGACUUUCCUUUUUUUCUCUAUAACUUUAAUUUGAACCCCAGCCAAACUAUCUAUGAACUGAACCUCUAACAUCUUCAUGGCUAUGCAAUGGCUGCUGGCAUAGACUUGCUCUCAAAUCAGUUUUGUUCCCUUCCCUCCUGCUCUGCUAGCAUGAUUCUUCUCCUAAAAGCUCUACUGACAGCAUCUACAGCUGGCCUAACACCUUGUAUGCUUCACACCAUCUUUGGGACUAAGCCAGACAGAACUUGAAUUGGUCUUUGCCACUAAACAGCAGGGCAUAUAGCCUUUCUCAUCGGCAAAAUUCAGUUAAUACCAACACAUGGUUGUGAGUUUGAAUGAGGCGAUGCAGGUAAGUAAUGCCCAAACAGACCGACACUCCAAGAUUAUCAAUUAGUUCUCUUCCUUCACUUGACAGUGAUAGUGCCUCCCUGAACACUUGCUCCAGGCGAGAAGCUAUCUCUGUAACAUCCAACAAUUAAAGAGGUUCCUCAAGUGCCUUUAGUGCUAACACAGGGCUUUUCUAGGGUUCACAUGUAAGUUUUAUAACUACCAAACAACUUAUUCUUUUUCUGAAAGUAACAAUGCCUUGCAAUUAAGCUAAUCUUAAUGUAUCAAACCACACUAUGCUGAAUUUUCUACAAUAUUCCAUUACUGUAGGAAGGGAAAAGCCUCAAAUUUUCAGGAUCUGCUUGAAAAAGAAAAUGUUUAAAAAUGUCUAAUAUUCCUCUUGCAAAAAAGAAUGCCAAAUAAUUAAGGGUCAUUUUUCUAAUGAGAACUAAAUUGCAGUUUGUGGAGAAGCAUUUAAUUGUGCUGAGUUCAUUGAGCUCACAAAUAGUAUAUUAUCUCAAAUUAUUUAUAUAAUUUCUAGCUCCCUGCCGGUUAAUGUAGGGCUCACCAUAGCUAGUAGGGGUUCAUUAUCUAAUUCACAAGAAAAAUGAUCUCUGUUUUCUGAUCCUAAAGACAAAGAAAAAGGAUAUUCCAAUUUAAGAUACUUUUUCAAACCACAGGGAAUACCCAUUAAAAUCACAGUCAGAACUAUGCAGCCAUGAAUAUUUCUGAAUAAUCUUUUAGUAUGAAAAAAAGGAAUUCUCUUCAGUGUCUAUAACUCAAGGAAUUGGUGCAAACAUACUUCCUGCACUUGCUUCUCUUUCUUCCCCUCUUUGCCCUCCUACUAUUGUAGAAAUACACUCUUACCUCUGGGGUAUCUAAGAUUUGUUUAACUUGCAGGAUAUUAGUGAUAUGCCAGGUAUACUUGGAAAAGGUUCCCAGUGGCAAGGCGUCUUUCCGAACAAAAGCUUCAAUGUAAGAAGGGAACAAGAUUAGACUACCAAAAAAAUAACAUUCUCUUUCAUUGCAUUUGUUAUCCAGUUUUUAGAAAGUUCAGUGCAGUGCUAUCCUUUCCUUAUAGAAUCUCAGCACUGUUAAAAAAGAAAUUCUAGAGGCAAAUCUGUAAUAGGUUUGGCAGAAAUGUGGUAAAUCAAAUGAUAUGGAUUUCUGCUAACAGAUGUCUCUGAUGCUUCUUUGAGAUGCUACUUAUUUUUGCUACCUUAGCAACUGAUUUCUUUGUUUGGUAUAGCUACACGCACAGGACUCCAUUAUAAAACAGCACCUUACAACCUCUCACAACUUUAGAUAUACCAGAGAUCAAAUUAUAGUUCUUAAAAGAAUUACAUGGAGUUUAGACCAGUUAACAUGGUUGCCAACCUGUUGCCUUGCCUGAAGGAUUAUAAAGGGGUUUCACCAAAAGGCCUGCAAAAAUAGCUAAAGGAUGGGUUAAAAGUAAUGUAUUAGGAGGCCUAAAGUUUAAGGUGAAAGAAAGAAUCAACACUGCCUCAGAUAGAUAAGCUGUGAAGACAAAGAUUUUUAUAGCCCUAAACAGUGAUUCACAGACAGAAUUCAACCUCAAAGAUAGAAUUAAACCUCAGUCCCUAUUAUAAUCAUCAAAUAACUACUAACUAAAGAAAUAGCAUUGAUGUCCAGCUAUAGUUACUCUUGGGCUAUUUAUCACUGAGCUAUCUAUUCUUCCUCCUCUCUCCCUCAUUUCCUUACACUACCUAAUAAGUAUCAUGAAAUUUCUAGUAGAAGAUGUAAUAGAAAACCAAGAAAUAAGCACCAGAAUAAUGUAAUUAUAAAGGGUUCCAAGCCUAAGAAUUACUCUAAAAAUAAAAUCUUCCUUCAUCAAAAUUGGGAACCAUGAAAAACAAGUUUUUGUUUUUGGUACAGAUUGUAAUAUGCUUCCAAGAAGCCAGUGCAAAUAACAACUGGAACUUACAAUGCUUUUGCUGAAAUUGGUUCAUAUCUAGAAAAUGUCAAACUUCUUAGUGGGCACCCUCAUUACACUUCACUGUCCUUUUACCAAGUUUGUGCUUUCUGAAUUUUUCCAUUAACUCUUACUGGAAUAAGUAUGGUACCUUUGAGAGGAGUGAUCAUUAUUCCAAGAGCUGACUGGCUAAGGCUUCAUGUUUUGAGCAUGUGACUAGAAGUCCUAAUCCUGAAAAUACCACACGGUUUCUCUAAGCAUAAUUCUCUAAGGUCAAGAUAUCUAUUGUUGUUCCUGAGGAAAAAAAUCCCAUACCUGUGGUGGAGUUGGGAAGCCGUUUCUUUGCACUUCCUAUAGAUAUUCUUUGUUGCAGAGCAUCAAAAAAGGACUGAGGAAUGUGGAACACCAGUGGCUCUGGUUUGCCUAUAUCAAAUAAGAAGAAACUCGUUUAAAGAAGCUCAGUGGGCUUUCUGACACGUAGGGAGAAGUGGAAGAAAUGGAAUUGGAUGGCACUAACAACUAAAAAUGCCACUGAGACUGCUUUAUACAGAGGCAAAAAGGCUUUGAUUGACCUUUAUAAGUCAAGCACUGUCACCAGCCCUACUCUUGAUCUCUAUUAUGACAAAUACAACAGACCCUUGUCAUCUGCCAAAGAUAACUUUUCAAUUCCUCAGUUUCAUAAACACCAGCAUAGCCCAGACUUUUCCCUUUAAAGAGUAUCUGAAAUGAGGUGAGCUCCAUACCCAGUGUGAUGCUUGAACUUACAACCCUGAGAUCAAGAGUCUCAUGCUCUACCAACUGAGCCAGCCAGGCACUCCUCAGAUGCCUUUUUGAAACAAAGGUCAAACCAAGAAAAAUAAAAAUAAAAGGUUUUCUAGAAGUCCACAGAAAGACUUUACGUUCUUUCAAAUGUUUUUAUAUACUUUAUUGAAUGCAGAAUGUCAAUGACAAAACUGUCACCGCUUCUGAGUCACUAAAACAGUGAUAUAUGGACAGUUUGGAAAAGUCACCAUACAAAGGAAUCUUAAAAUUUUUCAUCUUGAACUUAGAUUGUGGGCUACAUGCAGAGAUCAUGACUGGUCUAAAAGAAGUGCUAACUAACUAGAACUCAGGUGAUGUGAUGCCAGGGUUUAGACGUACAAAUUACUCUUGAAAAGCCCACAUAAAACAUACAGAUUCACAGUCCAGGAGAGAUGAUGAUGACUUUGACAAAGGUAGUGGUAAUGGAGAUGGUGAGGAGGAGUGGUAAUGGAGAAUGGGACAGAGAGGGACCACCGUGUGCAUCUUACAUUAUUGUUGGCAUUCUAUCUUUGAUUUGGGGAGGUCAGUUUAUAGGUACUUAUUACAUUACUUCAAAUAGUAAAUAAAUACAAUUUUAACAGGAAAAAAACAGACUAUUUUAUUUAUUAUUUUUUUAAGAGAAAGAGAGCAGGGGAGGGGCAGAGAGAGAAAAUCCCAAGGAGUCCACAUGCUGUCAGUGCUGAGCCCAAUGCGGGGCUCAGUCUCAUGAACUGUGAGAUCAGGACCUGCGGUGUGAUCAAGAGUCAGACACUAAACUGAGUGAACCAUCCAGGCAGACCCAAACAUAGACUCUUUGAAACUCUUAAUUUAUUUCAUAUUUCUAAAAAGUAACUUCUGAAGUUUUAUUUAUUCUGAAUUAAUAUAAACAAAAUUAAACAUGUAUUGUAAGAUCUCCAUUCUUGUCUCUUCCCUUACCAUGAAGCCGUAACUAUUAUAAUCUUUCAAAACUCAUCUCCUGUUGAUUGUCUCCUUUUGAGCUACUAUUCACUUUGGAGUGUCUUAUUUAUUUAUUUAUCUAUUUAUUUAUAAAUAAUUUUUUCAAGUUUAUUUAUUUAUUUUGAGAGAGAGACAAAGAGAGGGAGUAGGGGAAGGGGAAGGGCAGAAAGCAAGGGAGAGAGAAUCCUAAGCAGGUUCCGUACUGUCAGCACAGAGCCUGACAUGGGGCUUGAACCCACAAACCGUGAGCUCAUGACCUGAGCCAAAACCAAUAGUUGGAUGAUCAACCGACUGUGCCACCCAGGUGCCUCGUAUGUAUGUAUGUAUGUAUGUAUGUAUGUAUGUAUUUAUGUAUUUAUUUAUAAAAGAUUUUAUUUUAUUUUUUUAUAACUUUUUUUUAAUGUCAAUUUUUGAGACAGAGAGAGACAGAGUGGGGAAGGGGAAGAGAGAGAGGGAGACACAGAAUCUGAAGCAGGCUCUAGGCUCUGAGCUGCAAGCACAGAGCCCAAUGUACAGCUCUAACUCAUGAACUGCGAGAUCAUGACCUGAACUGAAGUCAGUCACUUAAUGAACUGAGCCACGCAGGUGCCCCUAAAGAUUUUAUUUCAUUUUAUUUAUUUAUUUUUAGAGACACAGAGAGAGUACAAGUGGAGGAGGGCCAGAGGAAGAGGGAGAGAGAAUCCCAAGUAGGCUCCACAGUCAGCAUGGAGCCGAUAUGGGGCCUGAACUCACGAACUGCGAGAUCAUGACCUGAGCAGAAACCAGGAGUUGGACGCUUAACCGACUGAGCCACCAGGCGCCCCCCUAAAGAUUUUAUUUUUAAAUAAUCUCUACACCCAAUGUGGGGCUCAAACUUGCAACCCUGAGAUCAAAAAUCA
Molecule: long non-coding RNA, 20079 nt
Organism: Acinonyx jubatus (cheetah)
Lineage: Eukaryota; Metazoa; Chordata; Mammalia; Carnivora; Felidae
Exons: 3
Source: RefSeq, a predicted model, not a curated record